RNAcentral lists this unclassified non-coding RNA (336 nucleotides) under soil metagenome. Its description in RNAcentral is "partial contains 5.8S ribosomal RNA, internal transcribed spacer 2, and large subunit ribosomal RNA". The stretch from base 1 to 120 matches the Rfam family "5.8S ribosomal RNA", at positions 35 to 154 of the family's 154-position model. The record is from RNAcentral.
GAUGAAGAAUGCAGCGAAAUGCGAUAAGUAGUGUGAAUUGCAGAAUUCAGUGAAUCAUCGAAUCUUUGAACGCACAUUGCGCCCCUUGGUAUUCCAUGGGGCAUGCCUGUUCGAGCGUCAUUUGUACCUUCAAGCUUUGCUUGGUGUUGGGUGUUUGUCUCGCCUUUGCGUGUAGACUCGCCUUAAAAUAAUUGGCAGCCGGCGUAUUGAUUUCGGAGCGCAGUACAUCUCGCGCUUUGCACUCAUAACGACAGCGUCCAAAAGUACAUUUUACACUCUUGACCUCGGAUCAGGUAGGGAUACCCGCUGAACUUAAGCAUAUCAAUAAGCGGAGGA